GGAAGGGUCGCAUAGAGGCCGAGUGCGCUCGCUUGGAAAGCGAGUAUGCCGCAAGGUAUCGCGGGUUCGAAUCCCGCCCCUUCCG
This 85-nucleotide transfer RNA is filed under the name bacterium. Its description in RNAcentral is "tRNA-Ser". It matches the Rfam family "tRNA". Rfam says of the family: Transfer RNA (tRNA) molecules are approximately 80 nucleotides in length. The record is from RNAcentral.